AUGUUGGGUUAAAUGUCCCCGCACAGCGACGGCGCCCCNGUUAUCCCCAGUACGCCAGCCGGUUCCGGGCUGGGGCACUCUGGANGAGACUGCCCAGGAUAUAACCGUGGAGGAAGGNGGGGACUGACGUCAGAGAUCAUCAUGGCCCCUUAUGAUCUGGGCUACACACGUGCUACAAUGGCGUAUACAAAGGGGAGACGCGANCCCUGCGAAGAGGUAAGCAAAUCCCGAAAAAUUGCGUCCCAGUUCCGGACUUGCAGUCUGCAACUCGAUUGCACNAAAGCUGGAAUCGCUAGUUAAUCGCGGAUCAGAAUGCCGCGGUGAAUACGUUCCCGGGCCUUGUACAC
This 347-nucleotide ribosomal RNA is filed under the name uncultured bacterium. RNAcentral's name for it is "bacterial SSU rRNA". It matches the Rfam family "Bacterial small subunit ribosomal RNA", at positions 1072 to 1388 of the family's 1533-position model. The record is from RNAcentral.